GGAAGUCAAUAGAAUCGCCACCGUGCUUUCCGCCGUCGGCAAUCUAUCUCCGGCGAAUUCAGCCGACACUGUUUGAAAAAAUAAAUUUCUACAGGACAUAGUGUUAAGAGACAACCCUGAGUAUGCUUUCAGGAUUGAAAAUCAUUCCACGCGAACACGUAGAAAAGGCAAAGGAUGAAAGCUUGGAUGAUUCUCGAAAACAGAGGAGGAGAUCUGGUCAUAAGAAGGAUAGGGAGAGAAAGAAAAAGAAAAAAUCGCGUUCCACUAGUUCAGAUGAUGAAGACCUUGAUAAAAUAAGAGCAAGGUCAAAGAAAAAGAAGUGGUAUGCAUCAGAUGAGGAUUUGUCCUCGUAUUCAGAUGGAAGUGAGAGUGAUAGUGCUUCUGAUUAUGAGAGAAAGAACAGUAGCAGGAAGACAAGUAAGAAGAGAAGAAGCAAGCAUGGAAAAAGUAAAGAAAGAAGUCAAAGUUCUUCAUCUGAGUCUGAAAGUGAGAAAAGGAAGAGAAGUAAGAAAGACAGACAAAGUCGGAGAGAGGGUGAUGUACUGCAAAAUAACGUGCUUGAUAAUGACUUUGAUGGAUCUAAGUUGCGUAAUGAUCAUCAACGUGUGAGAAAAGAAAUGGGGUUGGAUUGGAUGCUGCGGCCUAAAGACAAUGCGGAUAAGAUUCCCGAAUCAGUCUCUAACUGUUCAGCCAAGGAGACUCCAGCUGAAGAGGUGACAAAAGUAAAUCCCAAAGAACUAAACCCAUAUUUGAAGGAUGGAGGAGGUGGUUAUCCUGAUGAUUCAGAAGGAACAAAGAGUGGUGGUAGCCAACUUCUGUCUUCUGCUGUUGUUGGUGAUGGAGGUGCAAGUUGGAGGCUUAAAGCCUUGAGACGAGCUCAAGAACAAGCAGAUCGGGAAGGACGAAAGCUUGAUGAGGUGGCAGCAGAACGCUGGGGAUCACUUAGUCAACUUGCGGUUUCUGUGUCUUCCGGUAAAGCUGCACCAACCCGUGCUCACCUUCAUGCUAUCAAACGGAGGCAAGGGGCAAUGGAUGACAAGGAAGCUGUUACAGACAAAAGAAAUCAGGCCUAUGCUAGAAAGGAGACAUCCCCUGGUCGUUCAAAGAUGCGGAUGCCCACCAACCUUAAAGACUCUUUAUCAUGGCGCAAAGAGAGAAACCAGAAUAUAUCCAAUGCAGAUGCGGGGCUUAUUGCCACUGCAAUAUCUAGUGUAAAUAAGUUCUCCAAUGAUGGAAAUUUUAUGCGUGAAUUUAUGCAUGAAAAGAGUGGUGAUUCCAGCCAUGCUCCUGAUUCUUCAAAUCCAAAGUCAGGGGUCUUGGAAUCAAAACCAGAUUUACCGGUAUAUGAGAGAACAAGUGAAGAUGCAACGAAUAUCAAACCAGCGUUGUCUGCAAAUCAAUUAGCUGCAAAAGUGAUGCAGCUUCGAAUGAAAGGGAUGCAUGAUGAAGCUGAAAAACUUCUGAAAGAAGCAGAGGAGCUGAAAACUAAACAAACUGCUAAUGAUGUGUUGAGUAGACCACGGAUAGAUGGGAGUACAAGCAGAUAUGUGAUGCAUGACCUAUCUGCUCGGCAAAAGAAUAAAGCAGAGGAUGCUGAUGUGCAUCUUGCUCAGAAGAUAGUGCAAAACAAAAAGUAUACUACAUAUGGUCAGGCGGAUGAUGAGUAUGAUUAUGAUGAUGGGCCGAGGAAAAAGUCCCGGAAGAAAGGAGGGGUGGAGAAUCAUAAAUCUCUUGAGACUGCUAAUCAUGCAAGGCGCAUUUUGACUCAGCAGGAGAGAUGCCAAUUCUGCUUUGAGAAUCCAACGAGACCAAAGCACCUCGUGGUUGCCAUUGCAAACUUCAGUUACUUAUCACUACCGGUAUGGCGGUCGAUUGCCCCGGGUCAUUGCUGCAUCUUGACAAUGCAGCAUGAAUCAGCUACAAGAUCUUUGGAUGAUAAUGUCUGGGAAGAGUUUAGGAACUUCAAGAAAUGCCUCAUUAUGAUGUUUGCGAAGCAAGAGAAGGAUCUCAUUUUUCUCGAGACUGUGAUGAGUUUGGCCCGGCAGAAGCGACAUUGUUUGGUAGAGUGCAUUCCUUUGCCCAAGGAAGUUGCAAAGCAAGCACCCUUGUACUUUAAAAAGGCGAUUGAUGAAGCCGAAGAUGAAUGGAGUCAACACAAUGCUAAGAAACUCAUAGAUACAAGUGUAAAGGGUUUGCGGGCAUCAAUCCCAAAGGAUUUUCCCUACUUCCAUGUUGAAUUUGGCUUAAAUAAAGGGUUCGUUCAUGUAAUUGACGAUGAAAACCAGUUCAGCAGCAGUUUCGGCCUCAAUGUAGUAAGAGGGAUGCUGAAGUUACCACCUGAAGACAUGCAUCAGCAUCGGAGGCGUGAAUCAGUUGACACUCAAAGAGAAGCUGUCGCUGGUUUUGCAAGAGAUUGGGACCCUUUUGACUGGACUAAACAGCUUUGAUCGACUAAUAUUAGGUGUAUGCGCCUGUAUUUUACGCGUAAGUUUCUUAAUUUUUAGCUUGAAUUAUGUUGAGGGAGGUUGCAUUUGUAAAGGAAAAGUGACUGAUCGUAUUCAUAGUAUCACUACUAUUGCAUGAUUGUGAUAUACUUGAAAAGAAGUG
Molecule: unclassified non-coding RNA, 2607 nt
Filed under: Hevea brasiliensis (rubber tree)
Lineage: Eukaryota; Viridiplantae; Streptophyta; Magnoliopsida; Malpighiales; Euphorbiaceae
Source: RNAcentral